GUCCAGAACUUCCUGUUAUU
RNAcentral lists this small nuclear RNA (20 nucleotides) under Arabidopsis thaliana (thale cress). RNAcentral's name for it is "snRNA_10980". The record is from RNAcentral. Lineage: Eukaryota; Viridiplantae; Streptophyta; Magnoliopsida; Brassicales; Brassicaceae.